GAUGGACGCUGGCGGCGUGCCUAAUACAUGCAAGUCGAGCGAACAGACGAGGAGCUUGCUCCUCUGACGUUAGCGGCGGACGGGUGAGUAACACGUGGAUAACCUACCUAUAAGACUGGGAUAACUUCGGGAAACCGGAGCUAAUACCGGAUAAUAUAUUGAACCGCAUGGUUUAAUAGUGAAAGACGGUUUUGCUGUCACUUAUAGAUGGAUCCGCGCCGCAUUAGCUAGUUGGUAAGGUAACGGCUUACCAAGGCAACGAUGCGUAGCCGACCUGAGAGGGUGAUCGGCCACACUGGAACUGAGACACGGUCCAGACUCCUACGGGAGGCAGCAGUAGGGAAUCUUCCGCAAUGGGCGAAAGCCUGACGGAGCAACGCCGCGUGAGUGAUGAAGGUCUUCGGAUCGUAAAACUCUGUUAUUAGGGAAGAACAAAUGUGUAAGUAACUAUGCACGUCUUGACGGCACCUAAUCAGAAAGCCACGGCUAACUACGUG
Molecule: ribosomal RNA, 497 nt
Filed under: uncultured bacterium
Lineage: Bacteria
Description: partial 16S ribosomal RNA
Rfam family: Bacterial small subunit ribosomal RNA
Source: RNAcentral